Molecule: non-coding RNA, 1240 nt
Organism: Manis javanica (Malayan pangolin)
Lineage: Eukaryota; Metazoa; Chordata; Mammalia; Pholidota; Manidae
Source: RefSeq, a predicted model, not a curated record
GUUCCCGCAUCCAGGUGCCUCCAUGGAGGUUUCUGAUUUAGUCACCUGUGCUUGGUCAUUGGCAUCCAUGUGUUUCUGAAGGCCCCCAGACUUAUUCUGCUCUGCAGAACCAAGACAUGCUGACCUCUGCUGAACCAUUCUCACCCAGAGAAGCUGGAGAAACAAGCCCUGGGGGGCAUCCUGGUGGGCUUUGUGAUGCUAAUACAUCACAGGCAGAAGGAAAACAAGAGGAAACAGAAUUUAGGAAACAAAAAGUGAAGAAAAUUCAUGGGAAAAAAUCAGGAAAGUUAAACAUGGUUGGACUAAGAGAAACUGAGUAUGUUGCUGCACUGACUUCUCUGUUUGCCUUCUCUUCUGGGAAGCCUUCCCUGGUUACCUCAUUUGAAAGCACCAACUUCUGAUUCAUCACUGUAACUGCUUCCAUUGCUUGCUUAAUUCCCUCCUGUCCUCUUAGCAUUGUGUUGCUGGGGAGUCUCCCUGGAGAAGAAGAUAAACGACAGUAUGGUGGGAAGUGUAUCCUGUUCAUGGCUCUCUCCAGAGUCUAUGGAAGAGCCUGGAACAGAGCAAUUCAAGGAGAGGAGGAGAGAAUAGCAGGUACACGCCCCAAACCUCGUCUGCAGAUUCAUCUCUACCAACGAACUGGCCUUGUUUUCCAUAGCUUAAGAAACAAAAAAAAGCAUAAAAACCCACUGUUUCACUAAAAACACACCUUUUAUUUAAAAAUGCUGCAAGUUGUGAACUAUUUUAGUAAUUGCCAGUGAUCAAGGCUUAGAUAGAAAGUAUGGCUUCAAGGUGUCCCAGUACUUUCAGGAGAAAAGCCAUUUCCUCAUUCUGGUGAUGUCUCUGCAAUAUGCAUUUGCAUGCCCUCAGUUAUUCAAAACAAGGGGAGGCCAGCUCUGGAAAUUCCCUGAGUAACUCCAGUUCAGUCAUAUGAGCAAAAGUUUAAUUUAGCUCAUUUUGCAAGGCUAACUUAACCUGGGUCAUUUCUUGUUUAUGCCUCUGGAAAUCACAAGCUGCACUUGAACUGUUCCCCAAAGUGGAUAUGAGGAAAUCACUGACCAGUUUCCUAUCAUUUCUGAAAAUUCUAGCAGUAUAACCAAUCCUUCUGAAGAGUAAACAGUCACUGCCUUCUCACAAUGGAAGCUGCUUUAUAACACUAAACCCGAGCUUCAUGCCAUAUCUGGUUUGAGUGCUCUGGUUUUCAAAUGGUCUUCUUGGUGUGUGAAUAAUAAACUUUACU